UUUGCUUUUGAAGAUGGAAGCUCGGAGCACAACGAUGCAACUGGUAGUGCAUCUAUUCAAGAUUGCAACUGCCGCAAGCGGCCACGUGGACCAAACAGCUUAACCAUAUCUGGACAAACUAGUGAAGAAAGAUUCACUCAUACAUCAGCUACAAAUGGCUACAUACGUAUCGAGUUGUAUGGUCCAACUGAUGAGUGUGACAGAGUAACCUCAUAUGAGACCUUCAAGAAGGCUCUUGCAAUCCGUGCCCUGGCAAGGUAUUAUAUUUCUCUGUGCUGCAUGAACCGUCGCAACUGUCUACACAAAACAUGUAUAACAUGCCAACAAUGCAACCACCAUCAUCUGAACACCAGUGGGUUUAGAGAGGAAUCGGCGGCAUCAAAAAGAAAUGCUUCAACUCUAUCAAAUUAUACACCACAGUGCAGCCCUGUGAUCCUGCACUAUACCCCGAAACACAUCGAGGUCCCGUACAAUUCAUUCCAGACACAACUGACUGGCAGAUCUGAAAUAGUUAUGGACAUGUUCGAUGCAAUAAUUAGGCGAUUCACAGAGGUAACUAAGAGUGGAGAUGAAUGUGUGGAAGGCUAUAUCCAGCGACACAUAUUUGAAUCAAUAUUUAUUGGGACUUUGCUUGCAGGCACAUUCAACGCAACAAGCCAAGUGAUUAAAGAUCAGAUAUAUGGGCUGCAUAUAUAAUAUGAACUGCCAUCGUGCAGAAUAGUAAGAAAAAACAAAACAAACUUGAUUUCUGCAGACAUCACAUUGCUGUUGUAGCUAAAAAAUAAGUUAACACAAAAUUCAUUUCGUCUCUGUUUUUGGAAGCAGCUAUUCUUCCCAGGAAUUGUUGGGCACCGAUGGGUGACAUACGCAUGGUGUCUUGAUAGAAACAUAAUAUCUGUAUUUGACCCUUGUUUCAAUGAAAAUUGCAUUGACGAACACAAGGAUGUGCACAUAUACGUCAUUGGACUGAUUAAAAAUGCCAUGAAAUUAACAGCAAGUCAUUUGAUAACUGGCUGGAAUUACAACUGGGAAGCAGCAAGAAUAGAAAUAAUAGCCACCCAAUUUGCCGGAAGCACCUGGAAUAGGAGCACAGGUUGCGCUGCUGCCCAAUUCUGCUUUCACUAUAGUGGAACGCUUUCUUCACUUUCAAGAGUAAAUGUAACAGAUGCAUCAGAGGUUGCAGAAAUGCUCACUGACGCACUAGGCUUAAAAGAAAACCAGGGGUUCGUGCCCACAACAUAAAGAUGCCAACCAUACCUCGCAGCGCUGAAGAAGGUAUUGCCCGACAUGCAGUCUCUCCUUACAGCAAAAUUAAAUCAGUAUCGUUAAGUAUUUUUGUAAAAAAAAAGAGCUAUAUAAACUCAUAAUAUUAUUUUUGAAGAACUACAUGUAUGUUUUGCCUGUUACGCAGACCCUUACCAGUCCCUUCCUUU
Long non-coding RNA from Panicum virgatum (switchgrass), 1433 nucleotides. RefSeq lists it as uncharacterized. Lineage: Eukaryota; Viridiplantae; Streptophyta; Magnoliopsida; Poales; Poaceae. The record is from RefSeq and is a predicted model, not a curated record. The transcript is spliced from 6 exons.